CGGGCUGUAGCGAAGUUGGCUAUCGCGUCUGGUUUGGGACCAGAAGAUCGUGGGUUCAAGUCCCACCAGCCCGACCA
Molecule: transfer RNA, 77 nt
Filed under: Pseudomonadota bacterium
Lineage: Bacteria; Pseudomonadati; Pseudomonadota
Also listed under: 2 other names
Description: tRNA-Pro
Rfam family: tRNA
About the family: Transfer RNA (tRNA) molecules are approximately 80 nucleotides in length. Their secondary structure includes four short double-helical elements and three loops (D, anti-codon, and T loops).
Source: RNAcentral